ACUCUCUGGCUGCAGGAAUCAUCUGUCACUCCUCUUCUCCUCUGGGAGCUGGUUUCUUCUUUGUAUCAAAAAAGGAUAAGACUCUGUGACCAUGCAUUGACUACUGUGGACUUAACAUCACCAUAAAGAACAAAUAUCCUUUGCCUUUGAUCAGUUCUGCUUUUGAGUCUUUACAGGGAGCCACCAUCUUCUCCAAACUGCACCUGCGGAAUGCCUACCAUCUCGUUAGGAUCAAGGAGGGAGAUGAGUGGAAGACAGGUUUCAAUACCCCCCCUGGCCACUUUGAAUACCUGGUAAUGCCUUUUGGACUCACCAAUGCUCCUGCUGUUUUCCAGGCCCUAGUAAAUGAUGUUCUCCGUGAUUUUCUCAAUCGCUCAGUUUUUGUCUAUUUGGAUGACAUUCUCAUCUUCUCCAGGAGUGCAGAGGAACAUGUUCGCCAUGUCAGACAAGUCCUCCAGAGACUCUUGGAUAACAAAUUGUUUGUGAAGGUUGAGAAGAGCGAGUUCCAUGUGUGGCGUUCCUGGGAUACAUUUUCGAGAGCGGGCAGGUGAGAACAGACCCAGCCAAGACACAAGCCGUUGUUGAGUGGCCCAGACCAACUUCCCGUAAGCAGCUUCAACAGUUCCUUGGUUUUGCAGAUUUCUAUCACAGGUUUAUCAGAAACUACAGUCGUGGUGCUACUCCCCUUUUCAAGCUCACAUCCUCAACUCUCCCCUUUUACCUGGACUCCAGGGGCUGAAGCGGCCUUCACUGAUCUUAAGAGACGAUUCACUUCUGCACCAGUCCUAGUCCACCCAGACCCUUCUCGCCAGUUCAUUGUAGAAGUGGAUGCUUCUGAUACUGGGGUUGGAGCAGUCCUCUCUCAAUUGGCUGCCUCUGAGCAGACGUUACACCCCUGUGCCUUGUCCCGUCGGCUGUCGCCAGCCAAGUGAAACUAUGACAUUGUUUGAGUCUGAAGAUGCUCCCUUGGCUUCAGCUACCAUCCUGCCUCCAUCCUGUGUGGUAGCAGCUGUGACCUGGGAGAUUGAGGAGGUCAUGAAGAGGGCUCAGCAACACCAACCAGACCCUGGUACAGGUCCAGCUAAUCGCCUCUUGGUCACACAUCGCAAUCGAUUUUGUUACUGGACUACCUUCUUCACAAGGUAAUACGGUCAUUCUGACCAUUGUGGACAGGUUUUCUAAGGCUGUGCAUUUUGUGUCUCUUCCUAAACGCCCCUCUGCUCUUGAGACCGCUGAACUCCUGGUGCUUCAUUUCUUUCGUCUCCACAGUAUUCCUCUGGACAUUGUCUCUGAUUGUGGUCCUCAGUUCACCUCCCAGGUUUGGAAGGCAUUCUGUCAAGCCCUUGGAGCUUCUGUGAGUUUGUCUUCUGGUUUUCAUCCUCAGACCAAUGGACAAACAGAGCGUGCCAACCAAAACUUAGAGGCAGCUCUCCGUUGUCUGCCAGGAAUCCCACCUCUUGGAGUGUCCAUCUUCCCUGGAUUGAAUACGCCCACAACUCCCUAAAAUGUGCAGCCACAGGCCCAUCUUCGCCGAUGUCGUAGGCUCUGGAAGGAUGCCCGCUCUGCGCUACUUCGUUCUGUUGAUCGCAAUUGUCAUUACGCUGACUGCCUUCGGACACCAGCCCCCAAAUACCAACCAGGUCAGAAAGUUUGGCUCUGUGCUAAGGACAUUCCUUUAAAGACAGAUUCUAGGAAGCUUUCCCCUCGUUACAUUGGCCCCUAUGAGAUUGUCAGUAUCAUUAACCCCUCUGUGGAAAAGCUCAAGCUACCACGGUCUUUGAGAAUUCACCCCACUUUUCAUGUGUCCCUGCUGAAACCUGUUUCUGUCAGUCCAUUAUGCCCUCCAGCCAUUCCGCUCCACCCGCCCGGAUUGUGGAUGACCCUCCUGCCUUUACAGUCCGGCAGCUGCUGGAUGUGCGUCGCAGGGGCUUAUUAUUAUAACUUUAGAUCCCUCUCUAAUCUGGGAUUUCUAUCAAAAGCAUCCUGACAAGCCUGGUAGGCCACCUGGAGGUGGCUGUUGAGAUGACAAUGACAUUGUCACGAUGACAGUCGUGACUGUCGUUCCCUGUGUUUCCCCAUUCUUGUGUUGUGCACUUUUCUCUGUCUGUGUAGUGGGUGUG
This is a long non-coding RNA of Cynoglossus semilaevis (tongue sole), 2120 nucleotides long. RefSeq lists it as uncharacterized. The transcript has 3 exons. Lineage: Eukaryota; Metazoa; Chordata; Actinopteri; Pleuronectiformes; Cynoglossidae. The record is from RefSeq and is a predicted model, not a curated record.